Aegilops tauschii subsp. strangulata is the source of this 2283-nucleotide non-coding RNA. The record is from RefSeq and is a predicted model, not a curated record. Lineage: Eukaryota; Viridiplantae; Streptophyta; Magnoliopsida; Poales; Poaceae.
CCUUAUCUCACGCAUCUCCACCUCUAGCGCGCCUCCACCCCCUUCCACGCUGCCGCCCGCCGCUGGCCCCCGCCCCUCCGUCGCGCGCCGCCCCUGCCUGACACCGCCCCUCCGCCGUGCGCCGCCCCCGCCGGCCACCGCCCCUCCGCCAGGCGCCGCCCUCGUCGGCCACUGCCCCUCCGCCGUGCACCGCCACCACCGGGGACACUCGACGCCGACGCCACACCUUCCCCCAACUCCUCUCUCUCCUCCUCCUUUGCUGCACCGCUCUUCAUCAUCCGGCCAACUCCGUCGAAACGGACAGGCGGCGCUGGAGUUCGCCGAAAUGGGCCGAUGGGCGGUAAGAGGGCGGCGGCGGCGCGAGGAAGACUGACGGAUUCAGGCGUGGCGUCGAGGGAUCUUGCGUCUGGUGCGACAGCUUGCUACGAUGGCGGCGGCUGGUGCCCUGCUCAUCCAGAGAAAGAGAGAGAUAGGGCGUGAGGGAGAGAGCAAAGAGAAGAAGAAAGGAGAAGGAGAAGGGGCGCAGGGUGAGGGAGGCGGGCAGGGCAGCGUGCUCCUGUUGAGGCGGCAGGGCUCGCUGCUGGCUGGUUCCUCGGGAUCGAGCCUUGGCUUUCUCGAGGCGUGCGGUUGCCGGCAAGGGUAGCACAUCUCGCUGGAGCACACGUUGUUCCUGCCCAGAGGCCUCGGAUCGACCGGCUGGGCUCGGCGCUGCUGAGCAACGACGGUGGCGCGGGGGGGGGGGGGGGGGGGGGGGGGCGGGUUCAAGGGGAUCAUUGAGGACGCCAGCAGCAGCCUCUUCAAACUACGUGUAAUUCCUGUACCAUUGGCUUUAUCGGUUAUUUGUAUGAGAUUCACCCUGUUUGUGUCAAGGAAAGAGCUGGAAGGAGAGUACAUUGACGAGGAGGGGAAGAAUGGCUAGGCAGAUUGCCCACAACUCUGCACAGGUGCAGCCAAACAAAGCCUAGCUGGACAUCAUUUGUCAAGGUUUGCACACAACUACACAUUGAAAAUUCUAGAUGGGUUGAUCCAGAUCUUGGUGCUACUGCCUAUCAUCCAUAGCAUCUCCUCUUUUUACCACCAGCCACCACUACCACAAUGGUACAGAUCUCACCUGCAACUCCAUGUCACUCCCUUGCCUUAAUAUCUUCUUAUACUUGUUGUUUGUUUGGUCCAUCAUCAGUUCCUCACACAAAUCAGGUUGUCCCACCGGCCUACAGAACUUGGAUAUUUGCUACGACAAUCUGCCAUGUGGUGCAUUACUUGGUUGAUGCCCAUCGAGAGUUCAAGACUAAUCCACACUAGACAUUCUUGAUUCUUUAUUAUUUGCAUUAUUUUCAGAUCCAUUACCUUCAUGCAUAUCGUCAUCUAUGCAGCACAUGCCAAAAAGCUCUGUCGACGUGGUGCGUAUAUAGUAAUCUAACAAGGCAGCACACAUGUAUGCAAGCAGAGAGACAUACAAUACCAUGAGGGCAUCCUAUAGACAAAAAGGACAUUCAAGGAAUUAAGAAACUGAAUCGUCUCCGCAGAACAAACUGCAAGCUUUGAAAUCAUUGAAGUGUUGGUAAUUCCGUAAUCUCUUAACAUAGGCUGCCACCAUCAUGCUUCUCAGGUAGGCUAAUCCUUUUCUCCAUCAAGUUGUUCAUUACGUUCAAGACAGUGAGUAGCACACAACCUAAACAAAUGCAUAAUAUUGUCUGUUGAUGUCCCCACCACGAAGGCCCGGAGACUCUGUUCAUAAUCACCUCUCGCCAUAUCCGGUGAGGAUUAUGGUCUAGGCAGAGCAGCGCAUGAUGUUGUAGUGUGUCUAUUGUCAAUGACACUGUCGUGAUAUUGUCCACUUUGUCCCGGUGGUUCGAAAGCGACGCAAUGACAUCAUGUUUCUUCUCCUCAGUGAGUUUAUUAUUUUUCAUAGACCUCAUGGUAUAAAUAUAAGUUCUUGAUUCUUCUUCCACUCGAUCAUAUUCAUCUGCAUCUACUUGGUUGAAAUAUAUUUUUUCCCGAGUGAAUACCUUGCUUGUGUAUAACUGCUAUGUAGGAGUAGAGUACCGAGGGCUGAGGAGGCAAGUGCUGGAGAGGGUGGCAUGCAUCAGGGUGAGAGGGAAGAAAGUGCUGGAGGAUGUAAACAUUUGGAGGAACAUGUAUAGAGUGGUUCUUUGUGGGGAAAAUGUAUAGAGUGGUUGGUGUAUACGUCCUUUUUGUGAUAAUAAUAAAUGAAGUGCAUUCUGGUGUUAUGGUUGUGACUGAAGAUGUUACCGGCAGAAGCAAUUGCUACGUAAGUGUGAA